CUAGUUUGUAAUAAGAACAUGUAAACAAGGUCCUCGAAUCAAGAACAUUUAUUUUUAAACUGUAUAUGACCCUCCUGAUAAAUGUAUUUAUUGCUUUAGGAAUGUGCAGUGCUACAGAAGGCUACAUUCUAAAUAAAUUAUGGCAUUUCAAUGUCUAAAACCUCACGAUAAAUAGACUUUCUGCUUCUUGGUGUGAAAUUACCUUGAAAUUGC
This is a non-coding RNA of Pelobates cultripes (western spadefoot toad), 213 nucleotides long. The record is from the annotation of a GenBank genome assembly. Lineage: Eukaryota; Metazoa; Chordata; Amphibia; Anura; Pelobatidae.